CACGUAGGGGCGAGCGUUGUCCGGAAUUACUGGGUGUAAAGGGAGCGCAGGCGGGGCGGACAAGUCAGCUGUGAAAACUAUGGGCUUAACUCAUAGACUGCAGUUGAAACUGUUGCUCUUGAGUGGAGUAGAGGCAAGCGGAAUUCCGAGUGUAGCGGUGAAAUGCGUAGAUAUUCGGAGGAACACCAGUGGCGAAGGCGGCUUGCUGGGCUCUAACUGACGCUGAGGCUCGAAAGUGUGGGGAGCGAACAGGAUUAGA
This 259-nucleotide ribosomal RNA is filed under the name uncultured prokaryote. Its description in RNAcentral is "partial 16S ribosomal RNA". It matches the Rfam family "Bacterial small subunit ribosomal RNA", at positions 524 to 782 of the family's 1533-position model. The record is from RNAcentral.